CAGGCUCCAGGCUCCGAGCCAUCAGCCCAGAGCCUGACGCGGGGCUCGAACUCACGGACCGCGAAAUUGUGACCUGGCUGAAGUCGGACGCUUAACUGACUGCGCCACCCAGGCGCCCCUCAGUGUUCAUUUCUACACGAGUAGAAUGUGUUCCGGUGAGCGGUAAUAUUGUGCUGGUCCAAAUUUGGUGGCACACCAAAUAUGAUAGACCCGUGUGUGACUGCUGCUCUACACCUUCGUGUUUAGUGGUAGCAUACUAUUCCAGCAUAGGUAUGUGCCAUCAUUUGUUAACCAAUUUCCCAUUAUACAAGAUGGAUCUUUGGGUAGUUUCUGCUUUUUGACUGUUGUAAGCAGCGAUGUGAUGCAAGGAAGUUCCUUGUUGCUAAAUCUUUACAUUCACCGGAAGUUACAAUGAAUUGGAUCCCUCCUUUGUUUAGCGCCAGAUAAGUUAGUUUUAUUAUACAGCAAACCACCCCAAGGUGUGUUGGCUUACAACUUGGCUCACAAUUCUUGAAGCCAGCUGGACUGUUCUGACCUGGGUCGCCUCAGCUAAUCUCUGUGGGCCCUUCUGCCUCUGUGGUCGGCUGGGGGGCUGGCUGAGAAUGGCUGAUCUGGGACGGCUCGCUUGCACGCCUGGAAAGUGACAUGCUGCUGCCUGCAGCAACAGAGGCGUCUGGGUCAUUCAUCUCUACAUAAAGGUUUCCCUGCCUUCUUCACUUGGCAGUGGUGGCGGGGGUCCCCAUGGGCAGCAAGGAGGCAAACCCUAGUGUGCAAGCACUUGUCAAGCCUCUGUUUGCAUCCCUUUUGCUAAUAUUCUGUUGGCUAAAGUGAGUCCUAAAGCCAGCCCAGAGUCUACAUUGGAAGGCUUUCCCAAAGGGCGUUAGGAGAGGGAGGGGAAUAACGUGGGUACAUUUUUUGCAGUCUACUAUAGCCAGUAUUUUAAAAUUGAGAUCUCUGGGCCCUGUUGAAAAACAAAGUUUGGUUACCCUGGAUCUCCUCUGUCCCAUUGCACUAAUGGGCAGACCUGUUGCAGAGUGUCACCAUCCUCACCUUCGACAGAAUGCACACUUGUUACCCAGCUCCUCUGCCUGCUGCAUUAUCCGCUCAGCCCCCACAGACAUUUACAUUUAUGGGCGUACAGCCAGGAAGGUUCCUAGGAUUAACUCCUAGAAGAGGAAUUGCCCAGCUUAACGUUGCACGUUUUUAAAAGCUACUUACACUUUCUAAAACUUUUAAAAAGUUAUUUAAAAACUACUUGCGUGAGCAAAGUAUAAUGGGUUGGUUUGAAAUAUUACGCCAGUUAAUUCCCCCAAACAUCAGUGGUCACUGCGGAAGUUCCUGCUGGGGCACGUGCACAUGCACACACACACACACACACACACACACGCAACUGAGGCAGUAGAAUGAGUCUGUCUUCAUCCCUUUCUCUGGAGAAUUCCCCAGAAGUGGUAGUUUUGGAGAGAGACUCCCCUCAUUCAGUUACUCAGCAGACAUGUAUUGAGAAGCUACUAUAAGCCUGUCUCUGUGCUGGGUGGGGAAGCAAAAAGAUGACCAAUAAGUCCACAGUCCGACAGGAACUUACUGUUUGGCCAGUGAGAAGCAUGGAUCUCUAAUCACAGCACGAUUCAAUAAGGUCCAUGCCUGAGUACCAAGUCUCUGGGAAUGCAGAGGGGAAGCAAUUCAUUCUGCCUUGAUUCAGAGGUGAGAGGCAUGGGGAAUACUCUCCAGAGGCUCCCUCUCUUGGACACGUUUCUGUGCCGGAGUCCUCGUAUGUAAAAUAGGUACAGUAACAGUACCCACCUGUGGUCACAGUGAGGAUCCCACAAGAUAAAAGCUUAUAACAGUGUCCGGUAGAGAAAAAAUGUUUCGCUAAAUCAUUGUGCUGAAUUAUUUUAGCUAUCAGGGUUUUUCUAACAUUCUUCACCCUGCUGGGGCCCUGAGAAGUGCGAGGGUCAGAAUCACCUUCUCCUGAUGUGAUUUGCAAUAUGGAAACAAAGUGCAUGGUUUCUCAGUACUUUUAGCAGGACUCUAAAAAUAAGAAACAGGAACUAGUAGGCACACUUCAGAGCAUAUUCAGAAUUGGGGUGGGAUUCUGAUCUAACACUUGACCGUCAUUAAAUGAAUCCCUACAAACAGUGAGCUACUAAUUUGCUUAAGCUACCAGAGAUACAAAGAUAAAUUAGACCUAGUUCCCGCCCUAUAGGAUCUCAGCCUGCUGAGGACACCAGUGUAACAGCUAGCAAUUCUGAUAUUCUUUGGCCAGCACCGAGGAAGGAGCAAUUAAGUUGGCCACAGAGGAGGUGGCACCUCAACUGAGGUUUUGUAAGUUCUGCCCAAGUUGGCAUGUUGGUUCCUUGGGGCAUUAAUGUGUAUGGACACCAGAAUUCCACUUAAUUUAUUUCAUGCCCAAUUUGACAAAUAGCACUUCUUGCCAUGGGUCUACAGGAUACCUCCCUGGUGCUGCCUCAAAGUGAUUUAGAAAUAAAGAGAACCUUAUUUAUAGACUAAGUUGGCCAAUAUUAUCCCAUUCCGUACAUCAAGACAGCAAGACAUUGAGAAACAUGUGGUUUAUUUAUCCACAGGAGAAUGGGAUCAGGCUUCAGAUUUCAGAUAUCAGGCUCAUUUGGGGGUUCUCUGUGCCAUUUCUAGCCCUUAGUUCUUCCUCUGAAAGACCCACAGAUUAAAAUUAGAUGUUGCUGGCAUACAGGGAAUGUUUUUAAUGUAAUAACUGCCUGUUUACUUCUUAGAAUCAUAAACAGGGCUUAGAAGAACAGGGAUGUCCAUCUUGUUGGCAUUUACUGUUUUUGUAGGAAAAAUUAAAGUCUCACAAAGACAUAGUUCAGUGAGCCAACUAAGCCUUGUUUGUUAAAAUUAUGCAAAAUAUAUGGCAAUGGUUCUGAAAGCUAUUAUUAAUUCAAAACAUAGGCCGUGAAAUCCAGGUUUGAGUACUUAGAAAAAACAUAGACCCAAUGUGUUGAUAAUAUUUACAUGUCUCCAUUUCAUAUUCACAUUCUGUCUUUAGCCGGUGCUGAUUGCAGUGUCAAAUGACAUUCUUCAUGGAGCAUAUUCGUGGAAAAUAUCUGGUAUGGUCUGAAUGCUUGUGUUCCUCCUCCCCUAAUUUAUAUGUUGAAAUUCUAACCCCUACAGUUGAGGGUCUUAGGAGGUGGAGCCUUUGGGAGGUGAUGAGGUCACAAGCAUGAAGCCCUCUUGAAGAGACCCCACAGAGCUUCCUGGCUUCUUCUGCUUAGUGAGGAUACAGUGAGAAAGCCCCAGCUCUGAACCAGAAGAGGACCUUCACUAGAACGUGACCAUGCUGGUGGUGCCUUGGUCUUGAACUUCCCAGCUAUCAGAAUUGUGAGCACUUCUAGGAGAUGUAUUGAUUUAAUCAGGACUUUGCUGAUACCACAGUCUUUGGCAUGACUUAUUGGCUCAUUGCUGAUCCCAGGAAGAGACCAAGUGUUCACAAAUGAAGUUUUCAAUAUUUGUGGAAAGAGGGAGUCAACGGAUGCUGGGUCUAAAUGUUCCUACACUCCACAUCCUUGAUGCUGAGCAGUUCCCGGGGGCAGCUGCAGCUGCUGAAGCACAGCGUCCCAGGCUCCGCUGAGGGGACCUGCUGUAGUCAUCAGCAUAGAAAGAACUCUCCAGAACAGGUGACCCAGGAUAUGCUUCCUUUCCCCCUAAUUACAGGUUGCAUAGAGACUAUGUCCUGGUACUUAUUUAAGGCAAUGCUAGAACACAUCCCUUUAGCUAAAUUCCUGCUCCAUCUCAAUGGACUCAGUCUGCCAGAGCACCACAUUCACAUACCCUGAGCAGAGGGUGGGAGGAGAGAAAAGGAGAGGAAGCAGCACUGAUGGAGCAUAUGACCCAGGCACAUGGAAGGUGAUCUCAACUAAGUUUCGUGUCAUUUCAUCCUCUGACAACCUUAGGAGCCAGGAUUUUAGUCUCACUUCUCUUAUUUUACAGGUCAGGAACCUGAUGCUCCAGGAAGUUAACUAACCUGGCCGAGGUCAUUCACUAAGAUAUAUAGCAAUGCCAAAAUCUGAACUCAGGUCUGCCUGAGUUUUUGUUUUGUUUUUGUUGUUGUUGUUGUUGUUGUUGUUGUUGUUGUUGUUGUUGUUGUUUAUAACCUCCUGAGGUAUAGCCAAGGGCCCAGAAUGGCCCCGUCAGCUUUAUAUGAAACAUGUCUCCAGUCCACCUGCUGGAUUUUUGGUGUCAGUGCCUUUCUCCUGUCAUUAUUACAGAAAUUAAGUGAGUGAUGUUCAUAAAAUAGAUGUUCUUUAAUAUCUCCUGCUGCGCCAACCAUAAAGUCAUGUGAUGUGGCACAGCAAAGUGAGGUUGUGGUUAUUGCCCUGUGGGAUUUCAUCAAAAGCCAAGAUAAUCCUGGCUGAGACAGUCUGCAGGCAGGGCACAGCUUGGGUUUGAAUAGAGCAUUUGUCUCAUUGGCUGAAGGAAAAGGACUCUAUUCAUAACCUUCUCCUGAUAGCCUUUGCACGAGAAAGUGUAGGAAAAGCCAGAUUCUCAGCAAGAAGGGGCCUGUUCCCUUUCUCUGAGCAUGAGGAUUCCACAUUCCAUUCCUGGCAACCAUGAUUUAGAUAAAUGGUUUAAAUUUUCUUUUUCCCACAAUUAUGGGGGCAGUACUAAGAAGUUAUCAUCAUAUCUGAGUGUUCUGGGGAGUAAGUAUUCUUACUUGAUCUAGAUAAAGGAAAUCUGAGCUCCUCCUUGACAUCACUAAAGAAUCUCAUUGCUCUCUGUCCUCACCCUAAAGCUUUCCUUCUGUCUCCAAGGAGUAGACGCCAAAACUGUUUCCAAAGUGAAAUGUCAUUAGCCCACUCUACCCUCUGAGGAACAAUCGCCCUGCCCUUUAUAGCUGACUGUGACUGCCAUCCAGCCUUCCAAACAGCUUAUCUUUUUAAAUCACUCACAGGAUUGGGACAUGAUCUGCCAUCUGAAUUUGUUAAUUUCAGCAAAGAUUAUGUGAAGUCAAUAUUGGUCAACCUGAAGUUUGUAACAUGUAACAAUCUGAGGAAUUCCCUUCCUGGUCCCACUGACUGUGACCUAAACAGAUCUCCAAACAUGGUGGCCUCCCUUGCAGUACAGGGCUUGCUCAGGCAGUAAUGGCUCCAGUAUUUAAGAUUCAUAGUGAGUGCUUCAGGCACAAACUCAUGUGUGUGCGUCUUUACUGCUCCAGUCUCCAGGUACAGUUGGCACUUCUGUGAACCUCUUCCUUCCCAUGUCCAGGCUGUUGGCAUCCCACAUCAAGUCACUAAUGGUUUCCUCUUCUUUCCCUAGGCUCUACAUCUCACAUGCAACCUCAGACUUUUCUGUUCUUCCUUGAUUCAUUCAUUCAUUCAUUCAUUCAUUCAACAAAUAAGUUUUUGUAGUACUACAAUGUACCAAGCACUGGUGAGGGAUAUCAUAGUGAACUAAACAAGCAUAUAUCCUGUCCUCAUGGAGCUUACAAUCCAGUGAAGAGUUAUAAGCUACAACAAAUGAUAAGAAGAAAAAGUGCAGUGAGCUAUGAGAGCAUACUGAAAGGAGGCCCACUCUCACUUGGGGGUCAGAAGGUUCCUAUGAGGAUGCUCUGGUCCUCUACUCUCUGCUUCAUUACCUCAGGCUUGGUCCUUGAGCUCUGUCAUCGGUUAGCCUUCCAUUUUGGUGGCUCUGUUGGACCAUUUAUUUUGCUUUUGAGUUUUCCUCUCCAAGAUGUCACCUUUCAGUAAUGCCCCUUUAUUCAAUGAACCACAGUCAAAGAUAACAGGGCGAAAGCUAUCAAGGAUUAUUUUACAAAUGCUAGUCAAUGACUAUGGAAACAGUGAGAAAGAGGUUGGCAUGAGACACAAUAGCUUGUAACCUGAAAAUAUUACUGUAAAUUCUCUGUGCCGGUUCUACAGCACUGGUAAUGAGGUGCCAUUUCUUGUGACCUGGCCCUUCACCACACUCAGACAGCAUAUACUGUCCAGGCCCUAUAUGUAGGACCCCAAUAUUCUAAGACCUCAAUAUUAUUUCAUUUGCCUCUAGUUUGCCUAGAACUUGUUUCAUUUUUCCACUAAUUCAAAAAAAUAUUUAAGCCAAUGUGUCAGAUGCUAGGGCAGUGAGGGGGCUAUGGUGACAAGACAUGAACAGCACCUUGUUCAAGGUAGCUUGUGUCCAUUGUUGCCAAGUUAAAUGAACAUAUCAGGACGUCAGUGGAGAUGCUGCCCAUUGUUGGUGAAGGGGCAACAGUCAUACUCAAGGCAACUCACGUGGUCCAGACUUUACAAAGCCACAGUCCGUGCUGCCAGCUUAGGGGAUUGGCAAGAACUUCCAGAUCUUUCCACUUGCUCUUCAGUCACUGAUUAUGUCAUUUUUACUUCCAUUGAAGUAAUGCAACCCUAUAAAGAGUCAGAUAGUCUUACAUGACUGAUUACAAAGAACAUCCUUUGACCAUCUACUUCCCUCAUUUAAAUUUAGUCCACUAGGGAACCCACUUCAAUUUAUUUAGCUGUUUCAUUUCAGAUCCACUAUAUCUCUUAAUAGCUGCUACCCCUUGAUUUUUUAUGACAAUUAUAUUGAGAUAUAAUUCAUAUACCAUGAAAUUUACCCUUUUAAAUAAUUGUACAAUUCAUUGAUUUUUAAAAAUAUAUUCAUGGAGUUAUGCAACCAUCACCACUAUGUAAUUUUAGAACAUUUUCAAUAUCCUAAAAAAAACAAAACACCAAACACACUAACAGCCACUCUCCAUGUCCUCUGUCCCCAGCCUUGGAAACCACUAAUCUACUUACCAUCUCAUGGAUUUGCUUUUUACGGACAUUUCAUUAAUGGGAUCAUGCCGUAUAUGGCCUUUUGUGUCUGGCUUCUUUCACUUAGAGUAAUGUUUUCAGAGUUCAUCCAUGUUGCAGCAUGUGUCAGUAAUUUAUUCCUUUCUGUAAGCUGAGUGAUGCUCCAUUGAAAGGAUAUACCACUUUUUUGUUUAUCCAUUCAACAGUUGAUGGACACUGGGGUUGUUUCUACUUUCUGGCUAUUAUGAAGGAAGCUGCUACGAACAUCCGUGUACAAGUUUUUGUGUGGAUAUAUGUUGUCAAUUCUCGGGUACAGACCUAGGAGUGGAAUUGCUGAGUCACUGAUUUUUCAAGCUUUGGGCAUUAUUUACUGGCUUCUCACAUGGAGUCACUAUGGAGACAUCUUACCUUCCAUUGCUACCUCUCUUCCACAUACACACUUCCCAUCCUUCAUUCUUCCAAUGUUUAUAUCAUAAUUUUGAUUGGAUCAGAAUUAAUAUGAUAAUAUAAAUAUUGAACUACGACUACUUUUCCUUAAGGAACUUUUGAUUUUACCUGGAGUUAUUUGUCUUAUUUAUUUUCUAUGUAUCUAUCACUAAUUCAUCCUUAUUUCAUCUCCUCUCAAAAUGUUCAUAUGCAUUAGGCAUUCUAUCAGUUUUGUCCUCCCAGGUUUUUCUCAGAGUCUUCUGAUUUGCUCCAAUCUAGACUAGUUGUUCUUUAGACCUGCAGUAUGGUUGUUAUCACGAGAUUUCCCUUCACCAACACGCAGGGGUUUCUUUCACCUCUCUCUUGUGGGUUCCUUUUGUCCUAGAUCCCAUGUCUUUCUCGUAUUUCAUUCCCCUAUUUUUGUGGAAUAGCUCCUCCAGUUGCAUCCUGAGAACACUGCAUUAGUGGGUAUGUUGUUUGAGAACUUACCUAUCUGAAAAGGCUUUACAUUAUUUAAUUAUUUCUUUUUUUAAUAUUAAUUUUUGCUAGUUUCAUUUGACAUAAAAUUCUAUAAAAUUCACUUACUUGCAGAUUUUUUUCUAGUUUCCUUAGUUGCUGUUGAAAAGAUCGAAGCCAUUCUGAUUUUUUUUUUUAAUUUAACCAGUUUUUUACUCUCUCGAAGCUUUUAGGGUUUUCUCUUUGACUCCAAUAUUCUUAAAUAUGAUAUAGUUUGACUAAUAUAUUUUAUUCAUUUUGCUGGACACGUGAUAGGCCCCUUUUAUCUGACAAUAGCCUUCAAUACUAAGAAUUUUUCUUGAAUUAUUUAUUUAGUGAUUUUAUUUCCUCCAUUUUUUAAUUUUUUCCUCUUUCCAUGACUCAUAUUAUUUGGAUAUUGAACUUCCUGAUUUGGUCCUCAGAUGUUCUGAUCUCUUCUGUCCUGUUUUCUGUCAUUUUGUCAUCCUUUGUAAUGUUUUGUCAAAUUUUUCUUCCAACCUUUUAAUUGGAUUUUUAGUUUAUACCAUUUUUUAAA
Felis catus (domestic cat) is the source of this 8214-nucleotide long non-coding RNA. RefSeq lists it as uncharacterized. Lineage: Eukaryota; Metazoa; Chordata; Mammalia; Carnivora; Felidae. The transcript is spliced from 3 exons. The record is from RefSeq and is a predicted model, not a curated record.